CGUUGCAACUGUCUCGAGGGAGGGGACAGAACGUUGCGGCGGGCGGGAUGGAACGUGGCCAGCCCAGCGCGAGAUCGGAAACGGAUGGAUCGUGGCCGGGGAGCCCCGGAUCGAGGGAUGCCGGUGGCCGGGAUCCCUUUGGAAACAAAGAAGAUGAUCUAACAACUUACAUGGCUGCAAACCACAGCAUAACAAGAACCAGUGGCUGGACAUUAGAGCCAGACAAAUUCCAGCUGGAAAUAAGAUGCUGGUUUUUCUCCCUGAGAGGGAUUAACCAUUGAAACAAAAUGCCUGGGGAAGUGUUGGUUACUCUUCUCCAUGGCUUCCAGUCAAGACUGGAUGCCUUUUGAGAUGUUACUGGACUCAGGGCAGGGGGACCAGGGUGAACUCACUGGUCUGGGUUACAAAGGAGGUCAGACUAAAUGAUGUAAUGGUCCCUUCUGCCGUUGGACUGGCUGAAGUUGAAUUUUGAAAAUGCAGGUGAUUUACAAUUUUCGUGGCUGCAUCAUCAAAACAUUUCCUGAAUUUAUCCUGCCUCCUCUGAGGUGGGGAAAUACUAGUCCACUUUUAUAGGUGGGGAAACGGAGGCAAAAAGAGAGGGUCACACAGGGAGUCGUAGAGCCAGGAAUUGAACCCACAGCUCCUGAGACCCACUCCUGCCACCAGGCCAACUUGCCCCAGUGACCCCUUGUGAUCGUGCUCAGCUGAGAGGCCAAUGAUUGAAGAGGCUGAGACUGAUGACAUGUCUCAUCCCAGGUCAGGCAUGAGGCAGCUACAGGGGAAGAUGGCCAUGUGACUGGGACUUAGGUGUUUUGGGUUUGAUUCCCAGCUCUGCUAGAAACUUUGGCAAGUCACCUCAUUUAUGCCUUAGUUUCCCCUUCUCUAAAAUGAGAAUAAUUUUGCCUUUGUCUAGAUGGAUUGUAAGUUCUUUGGAGAUGGGCUCUUACUGUGUGUCUGCGCAGUGCCUGGCACAACAUGGCCAUGAUCUCAGCUGGGGCAGGGCUUGUCUCUCGCUGUGUCUGGGCAGCACCUGGAACAACAGGGUCCUGAUCCCAGCUGGGGCAAGGCCAGUCUCUGUCUGGGAAGCACCUGGUACAACAGAAUCCUGACUUGGGUUUCCAGCAAUAUAUAAACAGUAACAGUUUUGUCCUAUGCUGGUCCUGUGUUAAAGAUGCUGUCCUGAGCUCUUAACCCCAGUACUUCUGAUCAACUAGUAUAUUUCCCUGUUUGCAAUAUGUGGUUUUGAUACUUUCCGACCGCCACUACAUUUGCUCAUUUAAAAGAAAACGGACGAAAUAAAAUAUCUCUGUGGAGCAAUUGUUUCCUGUU
This is a long non-coding RNA of Dermochelys coriacea (leatherback sea turtle), 1329 nucleotides long. RefSeq lists it as uncharacterized. The record is from RefSeq and is a predicted model, not a curated record. NCBI's taxonomy places the organism in Eukaryota, Metazoa, Chordata, Testudines, Dermochelyidae. The transcript has 2 exons.